GAUGAACGCUGGCGGCGUGCUUAACACAUGCAAGUCGAACGAUAAAGCCCAGCUUGCUGGGUGGAUUAGUGGCGAACGGGUGAGUAACACGUUAGUAACCUGCCCUUGACUCUAGGAUAAGCCCGAUUAACUGGGUCUAAUACUGGAUAGGAACGUCUACCGCAUUGUGGGUGUUGGAAAGAAUUUCGGUCAUGGAUGGACUUGCGGCCUAUCAGCUUGUUGGUCAGGUAGUGGCUCAGCAAGGCGACGACCGGUAGCUGGCCUGAGAGGGUGACCGGCCACACUGGGAUUGAGCCACGGCCCAGCCUCCUAUGGGAGGGAAGAGUGGGGAAUAUUGAACAAUGGACGAAAGCAAGGUGCAGCGAAGCAGCGUGAGGUAUGAGGGCCUUCGGUUUGUGAACCACUUUCAUUAGGGAAGAAGCGAAAGUGACGGUACCUGCAGAAGAAGCACCGGCUAACUACGUG
RNAcentral lists this ribosomal RNA (465 nucleotides) under uncultured bacterium. RNAcentral describes it as "partial 16S ribosomal RNA". It matches the Rfam family "Bacterial small subunit ribosomal RNA", at positions 28 to 507 of the family's 1533-position model. The record is from RNAcentral.